Molecule: ribosomal RNA, 497 nt
Filed under: uncultured bacterium
Lineage: Bacteria
Description: partial 16S ribosomal RNA
Rfam family: Bacterial small subunit ribosomal RNA
Source: RNAcentral
GAUGAACGCUGGCGGCGUGCCUAAUACAUGCAAGUCGAGCGAACAGACGAGGAGCUUGCUCCUCUGACGUUAGCGGCGGACGGGUGAGUAACACGUGGAUAACCUACCUAUAAGACUGGGAUAACUUCGGGAAACCGGAGCUAAUACCGGAUAAUAUAUUGAACCGCAUGGUUCAAUAGUGAAAGACGGUUUUGCUGUCACUUAUAGAUGGAUCCGCGCCGCAUUAGCUAGUUGGUAAGGUAACGGCUUACCAAGGCGACGAUGCGUAGCCGACCUGAGAGGGUGAUCGGCCACACUGGAAGUGAGACAAGGUCCAGAAUACUACGGGAGGCAGCAGUAGGGAAUAUUACGCCAUGGUCGAAAGCCUGACGGAGCAGCGCCGCGUGAGGGAUGAAGGUCUUCGGAUCGUAAAACUCUGUUAUUAGGGAAGAACAAAUGUGUACGUAACUAUGCGCGUCUUGACGGUAGCUAAUCAGAAAGCGACGGCUAACUACGUG